This 2049-nucleotide long non-coding RNA is filed under the name Olea europaea subsp. europaea. Lineage: Eukaryota; Viridiplantae; Streptophyta; Magnoliopsida; Lamiales; Oleaceae. The record is from RNAcentral.
UAUUAAAAUAUAGUAUCCAUGCUCAGAUUAAAUUCCAUGAGAUUUAAUUUUCAAAGUUCGUAGUAAUACUACUCACAAAACCAUAACAAUUUAUAAACUACAAACAUUCAUUUACUUGGUUCGCAACAUUGACAAUGCAGAACAUUGAACAAUGUAGCAAUAAACUAAUUACAAUAAACAUGAACAAUGUAAAUACAGAGUGCAAUACUAUUACUCUUGGUACUGGAAAAGUAACUAGACGACUUUAUCGACUUCAACGGAAUUAAUUAGACAUGCUCAUUUCCUUUUGAAUUCUCUUCAUUACACCGUUUUCCAUUGCGAAAUGUCACGUUCAAUGAAAUAUCGAUGCCCGUUUCUUGGAUACACGACCUAGCAUUUAAUCUUAAAUGCUUCAUUCGUCGGAGUCUAAUAAUUCAUUUUUGAUUCUCCUAUCACAGUCCAGUCGAAAUAGCCACAGUCAUUACUGCAAGUUUGGAAUAACCGUCCUUUGUUACUGGUUUUUUUUUUUUCAACUUCAAAACAUUUCUGAUAUCCAGUUACACACUGCGGAUAGCUAAGUUUUCUCGGACAUUCAUCGAAGUAGUGCGACAAGCUUCUACAACUGUGACACAUUCCAAAAUUCCUUCCUCACGUCUUGAGAUUGGACACAACCACAUAAUUCAAUUGUCAAUAUUCCACCAUUAAAAUAAGAGCAACAACUCAGAAGAAUCUCAUAUGAGUGAGCAUAAUGUUUAUUCUAAUACAUAAGGAGAUUGGUGUGAGCUCAAAAGACAUUAAAUUAUUUCAAUAGAUGCAAAUGCAUUCUAUUAUCUAUUUCUAGUCAACCAGAAAAGAGGAACAUUGACCAGUAUUCAUCGUUAACAAUCGAUGUGUUUGUAACUUGUAUAACCAUCCACGUACUGAUUGUGAACUAAUUGUUCAAACAAGAUCAAAAACUCCACAACCACUAUACUCAAUUUAAAUUCCAUGGAAAACUUCCCAAUUCAUUUAGAUACUAUAGGCCACAUUUCUAAACAGUGCACAUUGAGAAUAUGUGACAUAAGGUAUGAAGAGUGUUCAUACUCACUGACAGGAAACUAAAAUGCAUCGAACUGUACAUCAAAUAACACAAUAACUCAAAAAUAAACACUCAGUAUAGCUCAAGAAAAGAAAGAACUUCCACUAAAAGCAUCACGCCACUUAUAUUAAAUCGGUAACCGAUUUCUAACAUAUCCGAUAAGAUAGUUCAAGAAGUGAAAAUCCAUGGAAGAAAUCCAAUAAACCCUGCAAUAUUCUAAUUUAAACAGAAUACAAAAUUACACUAUAACAAUAAAUAAAUGACUCUAAAUUCUAAAGAUGAAUUCAAAAACACAUGUGAAAUGCGAAAGUCCUCGUCAAGAAAAUGCAAAUCCACUGGAAUCCUACAGUUAACAAAAUUUCUUUUAUAACAUUUUAUGUAAAGAAAGAAAUUAAUAUAUAAAUCAACCAGAAAAUGAACCACACAAGCAAAAAAGAGCAUUAUGUUUGCCUUCAACAUUAUCUUUUUCCGUGAUUGGCCUAAUAGAUUUUAGCAAACAAAUCUAGAAGAGGAUUGAGAUCCAGGUGCACAAUGGUAGCAAUUAAUGGAAUUAUUGUCUCAAGACUUCAACUGCAGCUGCAAACUACGUAAUUUCCAUCUCGUGACGCAGAAAUUGGAAAUUAAAAAUUGCACAACACUAAAGAAAAUUAGAAGAAUGUGGCUCACGUGGGCUAUAUGCCUGAGCAUUCGCAAUUUUAGUCGUAAUAAGAAGUCGAGAUGGAGUUUUUAGGGUAAAGUAACUCGGGGGAAGAGAGUUUUCAGGCCUUUCCAACACCGGAGAUUGAAGCUAUAUGGUCGGGCUACGUGUGAUAAAUGAGACCACACAUUUUUUGCGAAUUCCCUCGGAAGAACCGGAGAUGUUUCUUGCGCAAAAUGGAUUUUUUUUCCUCCAUCUCUUCCCUCCCACUUCUGUCAAUUUUACUAUGAGUAGAGGUGGGGACAUUUUGGGUUAAAAUGGGUUUCUCAUUUAUACCAUUAUUUUAGUCUUUUUU